This 364-nucleotide ribosomal RNA is filed under the name uncultured bacterium. RNAcentral describes it as "bacterial SSU rRNA". It matches the Rfam family "Bacterial small subunit ribosomal RNA", at positions 1 to 334 of the family's 1533-position model. The record is from RNAcentral.
GUGAGUAGUUCAGAGUUUGAUCCUGGCUCAGGAUGAACGCUGGCGGCGUGCUUAACACAUGCAAGUCGAACGGAGUUUACAUGUGAGCGGAGGGUGCUUGCAUCUAACAAUCUUUUGUAAACUUAGUGGCGGACGGGUGAGUAACGCGUGGGUAACCUGCCGUAUGCAGGGGGACAACAGCUGGAAACGGCUGCUAAUACCGCAUAAGCGCACAGUACUGCAUGGUACAGUGUGAAAAGUUCUGGCGGCAUACGAUGGACCCGCGUCUGAUUAGCUAGUUGGUGAGGUAACGGCCCACCAAGGCGACGAUCAGUAGCCGGCCUGAGAGGGUGAACGGCCACAUUGGGACUGAGACACGGCCCAA